UACGAAGGGGGCUAGCGUUGUUCGGAAUUACUGGGCGUAAAGCGCACGUAGGCGGAUACUUAAGUCAGGGGUGAAAUCCCGGGGCUCAACCCCGGAACUGCCUUUGAUACUGGGUAUCUCGAGUCCGGAAGAGGUGAGUGGAAUUCCGAGUGUAGAGGUGAAAUUCGUAGAUAUUCGGAGGAACACCAGUGGCGAAGGCGGCUCACUGGUCCGGUACUGACGCUGAGGAACGAAAGCUAGGGGAGCAAACAGG
Molecule: ribosomal RNA, 253 nt
Filed under: uncultured bacterium
Lineage: Bacteria
Description: partial 16S ribosomal RNA
Rfam family: Bacterial small subunit ribosomal RNA
Source: RNAcentral